AGGGAAAAUAGUUUUGGAGGGAUUUCCUGCACAGAUGACCUAUUACUUGUUAUUAUGCACCUGGUGCCCACUCUGAGAACAAUCCUCAAUGAAUUAUCAUGUAAUGAAUCCAUUUCCAACCUUAAAAUGAAUUAUGCACAAUCAGAAAUUCUUAACAUCCUAUUAAAAUUCCUCCAUCAUACUUCGAUAGAAAACUAUUUCCCCC
This is a non-coding RNA of Pelobates cultripes (western spadefoot toad), 205 nucleotides long. Lineage: Eukaryota; Metazoa; Chordata; Amphibia; Anura; Pelobatidae. The record is from the annotation of a GenBank genome assembly.